CAGUAGCCGCGGGAAUACGUAGGUGGCAAGCGUUGUCCGGAAUUAUUGGGCGUAAAGGGCUCGCAGGCGGUUUCUUAAGUCUGAUGUGAAAGCCCCCGGCUCAACCGGGGAGGGUCAUUGGAAACUGGGAAACUUGAGUGCAGAAGAGGAGAGUGGAAUUCCACGUGUAGCGGUGAAAUGCGUAGAGAUGUGGAGGAACACCAGUGGCGAGGGCGACUCUCUGGUCUGUAACUGACGCUGAGGAGCGAAAGCGUGGGGAGCGAACAGGAUUAGAUACCCCAGUAGUCCCUGUCUCUUAUAC
RNAcentral lists this ribosomal RNA (301 nucleotides) under uncultured bacterium. RNAcentral's name for it is "partial 16S ribosomal RNA". It matches the Rfam family "Bacterial small subunit ribosomal RNA", at positions 509 to 807 of the family's 1533-position model. The record is from RNAcentral.